This 456-nucleotide ribosomal RNA is filed under the name uncultured Burkholderia sp. RNAcentral's name for it is "bacterial SSU rRNA". Lineage: Bacteria; Pseudomonadati; Pseudomonadota; Betaproteobacteria; Burkholderiales; Burkholderiaceae. The record is from RNAcentral.
GAAGGGGGGGAUCUUAGGACCUCCCGCUACAGGGGCGGCCGAUGGCAGAUUAGCUAGUUGGUGGGGUAAAGGCCUACCAAGGCGACGAUCUGUAGCUGGUCUGAGAGGACGACCAGCCACACUGGGACUGAGACACGGCCCAGACUCCUACGGGAGGCAGCAGUGGGGAAUUUUGGACAAUGGGGGAAACCCUGAUCCAGCAAUGCCGCGUGUGUGAAGAAGGCCUUCGGGUUGUAAAGCACUUUUGUCCGGAAAGAAAUCCUCUUCGCUAAUACCCAUGGGGGAUGACGGUACCGGAAGAAUAAGCACCGGCUAACUACGUGCCAGCAGCCGCGGUAAUACGUAGGGUGCAAGCGUUAAUCGGAAUUAYUGGGCGUAAAGNGUGCGCAGGCGGUUUGCUAAGACAGAUGUGAAAUCCCCGGGCUUAACCUGGGAACUGCAUUUGUGACUGGCGGG